Molecule: ribosomal RNA, 921 nt
Filed under: uncultured Bacteroidota bacterium
Lineage: Bacteria; Pseudomonadati; Bacteroidota
Description: bacterial SSU rRNA
Rfam family: Bacterial small subunit ribosomal RNA
Source: RNAcentral
GGAUCCAGACUUUGAUUCUGGCUCAGGAUGAACGCUAGCUACAGGCUUAACACAUGCAAGUCGCGGGGCAGCAUGUCGGUUGCUUGCAACCGACGAUGGCGACCGGCGCACGGGUGAGUAACGCGUAUCCAACCUGCCCUUCACCACGGAAUAAUCCAGUGAAAAUUGGUCUAAUACCGUAUGAGGUCAUACGAUGGCAUCAGAAUAUGACGAAAGGUUUGGCGGUGAAGGAUGGGGAUGCGUCUGAUUAGCUUGUUGGUGAGGUAACGGCUCACCAAGGCGACGAUCAGUAGGGGUUCUGAGAGGAAGGUCCCCCACAUUGGAACUGAGACACGGUCCAAACUCCUACGGGAGGCAGCAGUGAGGAAUAUUGGUCAAUGGGCGAGAGCCUGAACCAGCCAAGUAGCGUGCAGGAAGACGGCCCUAUGGGUUGUAAACUGCUUUUAUAUGGGGAUAAAGUGAGUUACGUGUAGCUUAUUGCAGGUACCAUAUGAAUAAGGACCGGCUAAUUCCGUGCCAGCAGCCGCGGUAAUACGGAAGGUCCAGGCGUUAUCCGGAUUUAUUGGGUUUUAAGGGAGCGUAGGCCGCCCCUUAAGCGUGUUGUGAAAUGCCGCGGCUCAACCGUGGCACUGCAGCGCGACCUGGGGGGCUUGAGUGCACGCAACGCAGGCGGAAUUCGUGGUGUAGCGGUGAAAUGCUUAGAUAUCACGAAGAACUCCGAUUGCGAAGGCAGCUUGCGGGAGUGCGACUGACGCUGAAGCUCGAAGGUGCGGGUAUCGAACAGGAUUAGAUACCCUGGUAGUCCGCACAGUAAACGAUGGAUGCCCGCUGUGUGCCUUCAUGGUACGCGGCCAAGCGAAAGCGUUAAGCAUCCCACCUGGGGAGUACGCCGGCAACGGUGCAACUCAAAGGAAUUGACGG